CCCCCUUCAUCAUCUCCCACAGCACGCCGCCACCCACCACCUCUUCGCGUCCUUCCUCCCACAGCUCGCCGUUGGCCCUCCCUCUCCCUUCCCCUCACCUCGCAGCUCCGGCACCUACCAGAUCCGCCGCAUCCCCCACCCAUCCAUCCCUCUCGUACCACAUUCAUUCCUCUCCGGCGGUCGCCUGAGACCCCUAGCCGUGGCAUCGUGUCCAACACAGCACAUCUCCGGCGGCUCCUCUCUAUCCACACAACGCGUCUCUGGUAGCUCCUCUCUAUCCACACCUCGCCCCCUCGAGCCCACCUUGCCGGCUGCGCGGUGGUGUCAUUGUGCAACGUCUAGCGGCGGGCGACCAACUCCUGGGCCGCCGUCGGUGUCUCGGUGACACCUCUUCUCCACCAAGGAAGUGUUCGAGAGCCCUGCAAUUCAUGAACAGUUUCUGAGUACUUAGCAUUCAAGGAGCAGCUUCUCAAUGAGCAGUCUGUCUCAGGAUGAAAUUUUAGCAUUUGUAGGUAAUUUUCCAUUCUACUUGUAGUAAAUAACCUUAUGAAUUCGUUCUCUCUGUCUUGACAACAGUUCCAGCAGCAAAUUUCUGCUUGAGCUUGCUUCACCCGCUACUCUGUAUACUGGCUGUGGAUUCAGAGUGUGUUGCCUGACUCGUGUGAUUGAUGGCCUUUUUUAAAUCGUUGAUGUAUGAUGUAUCUGAGGGAGGGAGGCAGUGAUUGAUAUACCAAGUUACGAUAUUAUUGAUGAGUUUUUUUUUUCAAUCGCUAUAUAGUAUAGUGUUUAUUUCACUUGCAAUGUUAGCUUCCUUGGUGCCCUUUCUUACUAUAUAGAUGGUACUUAAUGCUGCAUGCGUAUUUGGACAAUCGCUUCACCUCUGUUCCUAUAUAGAUUCAUUACAAAGGUCGAACACUGUCAGUGUCGAUCACCUAGCGUGGCUACUGCUCUCUCUAACUAUAAAGAUGUGUUCUCUGUGCGUGCUGACAAGGUGCCGCAGCUACUAUCGAGGUCUCUGGUGCAGCAGCCGGUGUGUUGUGUGUGCGCGCUUCCUCUCUGAAUGUUUAACACUAAAUUUUCUCUGAAUUUUUUCUGUAUCAUGUACACUGCAGGGUACCAAGUAGAGACAAACAACAAUGUACAAGUAGAGACAACCGCCGCGCUGUGGUAUGUGGCCUUCUAUCAAGUUCUAAUUUAGUUCAGAUUUUUCCCUAGGUCUUGGAGACAUGAUUUUUGUUACUGUAUUAACUUGUUGACAUGUUGUGUUUAGUGUUUUCUCCCCAUGUAUUUCCCAGGUAUUUUUAUUUUUCUGUCCUUAUUGUCUCCUGCAGCCCAGCGAACAUGUAUUCCAGAAAUAAGUUUACUCUGAACCUAAGAAGAAAAUUACAUUGUUACAUUGUGGCAGUCGUACAGUAAGAAUACAGAGGUAUAAACUUGUUAAUUUGUGUACUAAGCACAUAUAUUAGUGAGUCAAUUUAGAGUAGUAGUACUACUAUUAGUUGUGCACCUACUAGUACCAAGGCCACGUGUUCGCUCACUCUCUCUCAACCUGGAGGCACACACUCAGCUAGCACUUGCCAGCACAUUGACACAACGCAUUGUUUGUUGAACUCCUUUGCUUCAUCACUAGGUCGCCCUCCUGAAUAGUGCUCAUGACAAGUGAUCCUAAAUAUUUUUUCUUUAUGUUGUUCCUCUCCUUUUAUUUCGAUCACUUAACACUUUAAUUGUCUUAUUAUGAUCUCUAUUUCUGGGAUGCAGGUCUAAGUAGCUUCAUAACAAUCGUGCCGCUGCAUGGCGCACAAUUGAGCUUGAUAGGGCAACCAUGGCGGCCGUUGGUAGUUGGGAGUUUAACCGCGAUCAACCAAGGGUAUGUUGUUGUCCAUCACAAUCCGCCAUGACAUAUAGUUGCCAUCAGGAGGGUUGACAACAAGAACACGAGUGACAACCUUAGUAGUUUAUAUGUUUUGUUGAUGUAAAUUGGAUUGUACCGGUUCCUAAUCCUUGCUAUGUGAUAUAUUUUGUCAAUAUAUAUUGUAUAUUAUCAUUUCAUGGAGGAUAUUAUAAACUGCUAGGUUGUAGAUAUGUAUGGAUGGUUGCAUAUUGAGUGAUUUUGUCAAUAUAUGUUAUAGAUACCUAUGAAU
Triticum aestivum (bread wheat) is the source of this 2141-nucleotide long non-coding RNA. RefSeq lists it as uncharacterized. The transcript has 3 exons. The record is from RefSeq and is a predicted model, not a curated record. Lineage: Eukaryota; Viridiplantae; Streptophyta; Magnoliopsida; Poales; Poaceae.